This 255-nucleotide ribosomal RNA is filed under the name uncultured bacterium. RNAcentral describes it as "partial 16S ribosomal RNA". It matches the Rfam family "Bacterial small subunit ribosomal RNA", at positions 524 to 777 of the family's 1533-position model. The record is from RNAcentral.
UACGAAGGGGGCUAGCGUUGUUCGGAAUUACUGGGCGUAAAGCGCACGUAGGCGGAUACUUAAGUCAGGGGUGAAAUCCCGGGGCUCAACCCCGGAACUGCCUUUGAUACUGGGUAUCUCGAGUCCGGAAGAGGUGAGUGGAAUUCCGAGUGUAGAGGUGAAAAUUCGUAGAUAUUCGGAGGAACACCAGUGGCGAAGGCGGCUCACUGGUCCGGUACUGACGCUGAGGUGCGAAAGCGUGGGGAGCAAACAGGG